GAUGAAGAACGCAGCGAAAUGCGAUAAGUAAUGUGAAUUGCAGAAUUCAGUGAAUCAUCGAAUCUUUGAACGCACCUUGCGCUCCUUGGUAUUCCAAGGAGCAUGCCUGUUUGAGUAUCAUUAAAUUAUCAACUGUGCCAAUUUGGUUACAGAUUGGAUGUGGGAGAUUCUUUUUGCAGGCCUUUGACUUCUCUUUGAGAAAAAAAAUAAAAGGUCGGCUCUCCUGAAAUGUAUUAGCAGUGCCUUUGUUGGUUCAUUACGUGUGAUAAAUUGUCUACAUCUUCGCAUGAUACCUGCAUUUGUAAAGGUCAUAUUGCUUCUAAAUUGUCUUUGAUUGGACGCAAAACAUAUAUAAUGUUUGACAAACUUGAUCUCAAAUCAGGCAGGACUACCCGCUGAACUUAAGCAUAUCAAUAAGCGGAGGA
This 425-nucleotide unclassified non-coding RNA is filed under the name soil metagenome. RNAcentral describes it as "partial contains 5.8S ribosomal RNA, internal transcribed spacer 2, and large subunit ribosomal RNA". The stretch from base 1 to 120 matches the Rfam family "5.8S ribosomal RNA", at positions 35 to 154 of the family's 154-position model. The record is from RNAcentral.